This 1978-nucleotide long non-coding RNA is filed under the name Homo sapiens (human). Its description in RNAcentral is "HSALNT0384289". Lineage: Eukaryota; Metazoa; Chordata; Mammalia; Primates; Hominidae. The record is from RNAcentral.
ACUCCUUCAGCGCGCUGCCUGCCUGCCCAGGGCCUUCCCGGAGAGCAGGUGACGGCGGCCUCCGGGCAUGGAGCUCGCGCUGACGAAAGGUUCUGGAAGCCGCCGUAAAAAGUAAUCAAGAAACGGGUGACAGGACUUUUCGAACAAGGUCUCACCAUGCUGCCCAAGCUGGUCUGAAAACUCUUGUCCUCAGGCAGUCCUCCCACCUCGGCCUCCCAAAGAUCUGAGAUUACAGGCAUGAGCCACCACACCUGGCCUUGGUUUUAAUUCCUGUCACAGUAUAUUAGUUUUCGCUGUUGUGUAUUGAUUGAUUGAGACAGGGUCUCGCUCUGUUGCCCAGGCUGGAGUGCAGGGGCAUGAUCCCAGCUCACUGCAACCUCCACCUCUUGGAUUCAAGUGAUUCUCCCGUCUCAGCCUCCCGAGUAACAGGAACCACAGGUGUGUGCCAGCACGCCUGGCUAAUUUUUUUUUUUUUUUUCUUGAGGUGGAGUUUCACUGUUGUUGCCCAGGUUGGAGUGCAGUGGCACAAUCUCAGCUCACUGCAACCUCUGCCUCCUGGGUUCAAGUGAUUCUCCUGCUUCAGCCUCACGAGUUGUUGGGAUUACAGGCGCCCGCCACCACGCCCAGGUAAUUUUUGUUUAGUAGAGACGGGGUUUCACCAUGUUGGCCUGGCUGGUCUCGAACUCCUGACCUCAGGUGAUCCACCCACCUCGGCCUCCCAAAGUUGUGGGAUUGCAGGCGUGAGCCACUGCGCCUGGCCUAAUUUUUCAAUUUUUUGGUGGAGAUAGGGUUUCACCAUGUUGGCCAGGCUGGAGUUUUGCCUGUUCUAGAAGCUUGUAUCAGUCAUACAACACCCCUUUGAGGAACCGUUUGAGGUGUGGCACGAUACAGCAAGUCAGCUGCCAAAGAGGGGCUUAGCCACAGGAAGUGCGUGCCCAGAACGCAUCUCCCGUGUCCCUCACAGCAGUUCUAUGAGGCUGGCUGCCCUGUUUGACAACUGAGGCCCGCAUCUUCCCCGGAAUCACCGACGUGUGGCUCUGAGCCCUGUCCCAGGGAUUUUCUCCAUCAGAGAAGAGGAGCACUUUGAGCUUUGAGAGGAGCAGCCCUCUGCAAGUGAAGUGGAAAAAAAGGAAGCAGGCGAGGAGGCCCAUCCAGACCCUCCCCCAAGACCCUUGCUGAAAUGGCUGGGAUGCGGCGUGCAGAAGCUCUCCUUUCCUUCACAGCCCCUGGCUUUCCAAGAGUCCCUGCCCACCCAGAUGCCCGCUGGCAGAUGCAGCCUCAUCUCAAGGACACUGCUUGCUGGAUAAAUCCCUCACCACCCUAGAGACAGCCCACGGUCCUGAGACAAGGAUGCGGGCCAGGCUUGUUGCACGUAAGCGCCUCCCGCAGAAACCAGUGAGGCCGGAGUUCCAGAGGAAAUGAUGUAGGGACAGAGGCAGAGGGCCUCCAGGAGGCACCAGCCCCAGAGUCUUCCCUAGAAUCAGACUUUAAGCACAAGCAGGGAGGGAAAGCACUUGAGCAGUGCCCGUCCCUGCAUACCUGGCCUCUGCUGGAACCCAUGCAGGGACAGGACACUUCUUUAUCAGCAAUCCUGUUCCUCUCCUGGGCAGCUUCAACCUGAACAUCCUCCUUCACCUUGAGCUAAAAUGGGUUUCUUGUCACCCUUGCCCAUCAAACCUGGCCUUGCCCUCAGGAACCACACAGGACAAGCCUAAUACUUCCUUCUUGUGGCAACACUUUAGCAAUUGAGACCUGGCUGUCAGGUCCUCCAAAUAAACAUUUGUGACUGUGAUGUUGACUUGCCGCUUCUGGGGACCUCUUCUCAUUUGAUCGGAGAAAGUUUUUCAGGGUUAAACCUACUUCUUUCCCCCAAGAAACUCUUCUUGUCAGGCUCACGCCUAUAAUCCUGGCACUUUGGGAGGCCAAGGCAGGAGGAUUGUUUGAGACCAGCCUGGGCAACGUAGGUAGACUAUGUUGC